UGAGUUUUCUGAGAGUGUCUCACAUCUAAAACUCUUUUUCCUACUUCUCAUCUUUGGAAGAGUCCAAAUCAAGAAGAAGGUAUUUGAUCGACCAUCGAAGAAGGAUCAGCAUAGUACUAGUAUACUGUGCUGAUUUUUUGGACCAGGACUUCUGAUCAUGAUUCGUGGGCUCGUGUAGAUGACUCCUAGAGGUCGAACGCAUGUGCGGCUCAC
This 213-nucleotide long non-coding RNA is filed under the name Elaeis guineensis (African oil palm). RNAcentral's name for it is "long non-coding RNA (EGUI_LNC032974)". Lineage: Eukaryota; Viridiplantae; Streptophyta; Magnoliopsida; Arecales; Arecaceae. The record is from RNAcentral.